This 511-nucleotide ribosomal RNA is filed under the name uncultured bacterium. Its description in RNAcentral is "bacterial SSU rRNA". It matches the Rfam family "Bacterial small subunit ribosomal RNA", at positions 29 to 517 of the family's 1533-position model. The record is from RNAcentral.
AGCGAACGUUAGCGGCGGGCCUAACACAUGCAAGUCGAACGCGAAAGGUCUUCGGACUGAGUAGAGUGGCGCACGGGUGAGUAACACGUAGGUAAUCUACCCUUUGGCGGGGGAUAACGUUCCGAAAGGAGCGCUAAUACCGCAUAAGACCACGGAGUCUCCGGACGCUGUGGGAAAAGGUGGCCUCUUCUUGAAAGCUACCACCGAAGGAUGAGCCUGCGUCCCAUCAGCUAGUUGGUAAGGUAAUGGCUUACCAAGGCGAAGACGGGUAGCUGGUUUGAGAGAAUGAUCAGCCACACUGGCACUGGAACACGGGCCAGACUCCUACGGGAGGCAGCAGUGAGGAAUAUUGGGCAAUGGGCGAAAGCCUGACCCAGCCACGCCGCGUGAGUGAUGAAGGCCCUCGGGUCGUAAAGCUCUGUGGAGAGGGACGAAAACCCUGGUUUCAAAUAGGCUCCAGGCUCGACGGUACCUCUUUAGCAAGCACCGGCUAACUCUGUGCCAGCAGCCG